Molecule: small nuclear RNA, 200 nt
Organism: Teleopsis dalmanni
Lineage: Eukaryota; Metazoa; Arthropoda; Insecta; Diptera; Diopsidae
Product: U2 spliceosomal RNA
Exons: 1
Source: RefSeq, a predicted model, not a curated record
AUCGCUUCUCGGCCUUAUGGCUAAGAUCAAAGUGUAGUAUCUGUUCUUAUCAGCUUACAUCUGAUAGAUCCACAUUGGUGGGACAACAAAUGAUUAAACUGAUUUUGGAAAUAGACGUGAGAGUUUAGGAGCCUUGCUCAAUUUCUGUCACCGGGUUGAAAGCCUGGCAUUGCAGUCACGGUUGCACUUAUGUACUUUAG